This 497-nucleotide ribosomal RNA is filed under the name uncultured bacterium. Its description in RNAcentral is "partial 16S ribosomal RNA". It matches the Rfam family "Bacterial small subunit ribosomal RNA", at positions 28 to 507 of the family's 1533-position model. The record is from RNAcentral.
GAUGAACGCUGGCGGCGUGCCUAAUACAUGCAAGUCGAGCGAACGGACGAGAAGCUUGCUUCUCUGAUGUUAGCGGCGGACGGGUGAGUAACACGUGGAUAACCUACCUAUAAGACUGGGAUAACUUCGGGAAACCGGAGCUAAUACCGGAUAAUAUUUUGAACCGCAUGGUUCAAAAGUGAAAGACGGUCUUGCUGUCACUUAUAGAUGGAUCCGCGCUGCAUUAGCUAGUUGGUAAGGUAACGGCUUACCAAGGCAACGAUGCAUAGCCGACCUGAGAGGGUGAACGGCCACACUGGAACUGAGAGACGGUCCAGACUCCUACGGGAGGCAGCAGUAGGGAAUCUUCCGCAAUGGGCGAAAGCCUGACGGAGCAACGCCGCGUGAGUGAUGAAGGUCUUCGGAUCGUAAAACUCUGUUAUUAGGGAAGAACAUAUGUGUAAGUAACUGUGCACAUCUUGACGGUACCUAAUCAGAAAGCCACGGCUAACUACGUG